Molecule: ribosomal RNA, 460 nt
Filed under: uncultured bacterium
Lineage: Bacteria
Description: partial 16S ribosomal RNA
Rfam family: Bacterial small subunit ribosomal RNA
Source: RNAcentral
CCUACGGGCGGCAGCAGUGAGGAAUAUUGGUCAAUGGACGCAAGUCUGAACCAGCCAUGCCGCGUGCAGGAAGACGGCCCUAUGAGUUGUAAACUGCUUUUGUACGAGGGUAAACGCAGAUACGCGUAUCUGUCUGAAAGUAUCGUACGAAUAAGGAUCGGCUAACUCCGUGCCAGCAGCCGCGGUAAUACGGAGGAUUCAGGCGUUAUCCGGAUUUAUUGGGUUUAAAGGUUGCGUAGGCGGUGGGAUAAGUUAGAGGUGAAAUCCCGGGGCUCAACUCCGGAAUUGCCUCUGAUACUGUUCGGCUAGAGAGUAGUGGCGGUAGGCGGAAUGUAUGGUGUAGCGGUGAAAUGCUUAGAGAUCAUACAGAACCCCGAUUGCGAAGGCAGCUUACCAAGCUACUUCUGACGUUGAGGCACGAAAGCGUGGGGAGCGAACAGGAUUAGAUACCCUGGUAGUC